AAUCUUAAGGUUUUGCAUAGGAGGUAAAAUCUUACUUUUUCCUUUACGAAUUCGAGUUCGCCAAAAUAUUCUGCAGUGUCAUCUCCAUCCUCUCCCUUAGCUUGCUUAUGAAAAUCACCAUCUUUGGGGUUUUCUGAAGUAGUAGUAGAAUUAGGUUGUUGAGUAGACAAGAAACUUUUUCAUUUUUCUAACUUAACAUUUAAGGUUUUGACUUGUUCUUCUAGAGAAGUCAAGUUUUCGACUUUCUUUUGUAGACUUGCGAAUCGUUUUGCAUCAAUAUCUUCUCCAGACAUGAUUCUCUUCUUUAUUUUCUUCUUCCUUCUUGGUUGUCGAUGAACUUCAAGAGGUUGUGAAAGUUCUUCACGGGAUCAUUUGUAUUGAUCGCGUGUUAGGACCAUAAACCACAAAACUCCGAUGAGAUCUAGAUGCUCUUGAUACCACUUGAUCCAAACGACCUAGCAAUAUAACUUAUGUAAAAAGAAAGGUGGAAAACAUGCAUAAAACGAAGAACAAAAUAAAUAUGGUGAGGAAGAAAUCCUUCCUCUAGGGUUUUCUCUAUUGCUUUUGAAAAAUUCAAAGAUUACAAUAUGAGAGGCUUCCCUAGUUCCUUUUUUGAUACAAGGCCUAUAUAUAGUGAUUAUACACUAAUUAGAGUUGAAAUAGAAGUUUUUUUAGAAUAGAAUAGGUUUAGGUACGUUAUUGGGCCUAAACUUGGGCCAAACAUGGACCUAGGAUGUCUGGAAUGUGCUCAGUACUGCAAUCCAGCGGUAAUGUACCUGACAACCUCACUGUCCAACGACAAUGUGCAUGACAGUUCACAUACCUGUCAGAAAUCUCCAACGACAGUCCAAUUUCCAACCCGUUUUCUUGUCAAAUUACUUAGUGUCUGAGGAUGUUCUAUACACCGUUGGACAUCUGGGAUAGUAUACUUUCCAACUCAAAAGACGGAACACGAUUUGGAUCAACGAGCACAAAUUUUCGCCAUUUUACCAUAGGGUAUACAUGUGCAUAAAUGUUACAUGUUAACUAGGGUCAAGUACUUCUUCUCCUCAACACCUAGAUCCUCCUGAUCAAGGGUGUAAAUUUAGGUCCUAUAUUUAAGUCUUCUCUCCACCUCUAUAAAUUGGUAUUUGAUCUUCACUAUAAAACACUUACUAUUACAACACAUAUUAGGGUAUUGGAGGCAAAAGAGAGAUACCUAAAUCUUCUGUAAUGGAUUAAUCAAUACCUAUCAAUGUGUACUUGUUACUAAUUGAUUUCAUGAUUCAAGAUCUCAAUAUGUUAAUUACGAUUAUAUUAGACUCAAACGUAUGCCACAUGUGAUGGGUGGUGAUGACGUAUUUUCUUUGAAGAGGUAAGCAAGCGUAUUAAAUCUUCAUUUUUAAUAAGGGCUACUUUGAGAAUACACCCCAUGUUCCUCAAGUUUGAAAAAAGAAACAUAUUUUGGACUAAUUGGGUGUAUUCUCAAAUGGACCCUUAGUAAUGGCAAUGGCAUUUAGUAGUAGAAGGCUAAUAGGACACAACUAAUAUUGAGGUCGAAAUGGUUGGAUCAAUUGGAGAACAAAACUGGGUAUCUUCUCAAAAUGGAUAUUAUAUAUGUACUUGAAAGCUCCACUGACCACUGUCAUUGCCAAAACACAAGUAACAUGACCAAAAGUUAAACCAUAGUCCAUAAUCUCAAAUUGGAUCCAAGUUUAAAUCUGAAAUGUGACCUAUGAAAUAAUUAAAAAAUAUAUACAUGACUAAAAAGGAAAUAGAGAUUAUAUAGGAGUAAGUGAUCAAAAUGAUUAAUUAAUAUAUAAUACUUGAGUUGUUAAUUAAGUGAACUAACAGAUAAGAUAGAUACAGAAAGGGUACUGAGGAGAAGCAGUUACUUAUCAUAAUUCAGCUUCACUCCUAUCCGUUUAAUCUUUGUCAUUUAAUAUGAAACAGAAAUAGUGAUAGAAUAGAAAGACUAAGGGGUUGUUUGUUUUUUUGGGGUCCCUCUUGUAAGAGGUUGCCUCUUAUAAGAGGUACAUGAAAAUCGUUUGAUUUUGCCUCUUGCAAGAGCUUAUAAGAUGUAAGGUGUUUGUUUUUAAAACCUCUUAUAAGAGGUAAACUUCACAAUUAUAUCCUUUUCUAAAAUAUUUUUUUUUUAAUUCCAUAAAUGUAUUAAAAAAAAAAUUUAAAAAUUAAUUUUUUAGCUUAAGAAAAAGAAAAUUUCAUAAAUAUAAGAGAGAUAGAAAAAUAUGUGAAAGAGAGAGAAAUUUAAAAAAGAUUUAAGGUAUUAUAUAUUUAAGGACUAGGGGUAGGAAAAAGUUAUAAAGAUCAUGGGUAGAAUAGGUAUUUAAAAAUAUCUACCUCUUAUAAGAGGCUAAUAGCAAGGUCAUUGCCACUACCAAAAAUCAGCCUCUUAUAAGAGGCAAACCUCUAGUAACCUCUUAUAAGAGGUGAAAAACAAACACCUCAUUUUAGUGGUCCACCUCUUAACAGAGGCUCUAGUAAAUCCAACCUCUUAUAAGAGGUAAAAACAAACAGCACCUAACUUUAAUUUACUAGUUUUCUUGCAAACCAAAGCUUGGAACCUAAUCCAAGACUUGUUGGUGGUGGUAGAAUUCCCAACCCAACACCUUUCUUUGCUCACACACAGUCACCCACGCAUAUUUGAAAGGAAAGAAAACAAAAAGAUACCUCCCAUCACUCACUCAUUCACUUUUUGUGAAUCAAAUGCCACUAGUUAUGAACACAGACCACUUACCUAAAGAAUUUCAACAUUUAACAUGAUCAAAGUUACAAAAGAAUCAAAAGAAUUUAUAAUAUCAAUUUAAUGGUAACAAGAAUUUGUAUGUGCCAAAUAAUUCACAUUUUGAAUCAGAUUACCAUGCCAUAUCAAAUUUUAAGAAAAAAGAAAAGAGGAAGGAAAAGUACGGGAGGUUUUAGUAAUGACAGUCAACCAAAGAUGUAGUAGUAGAGAAGACGAGUGGUUGUUGUUUUGAAGCAAAGGUAGCGAAUUUAGACUCGCGAUCUUCUUCGGGUGCUGGAAGGUUUAGAUCCAAUGACAAAACAUUUCUUGACUUCUUAUUAGUAGGCUCUUGAUGAGACUCAGUCAGGACUGUAUCCAUGGUAGUAGAAGUAGUACUAGUCAUGUUGGCUGUUGUCGAUGUUCUAUGUCGCCUCAUAUGACCUCCUAAAGCUUGACCUGAUGAGAAUUCUGAACCACAUAUAGAGCACUCAUGAACCUUGGACUUGUUACUAGCAUAUGGAGUAGUAGCUCUAUUUCCCAUUUGAAGAUUAAGAGAUGGAUUAUUGUUGUUAUUGAAUUGGCUAUGAUCAUCAUAUUCCAAAAGCAACAAUGUUUUCUUCUCACCAACCAUAGACUUAGGCUUCUUAUGACUUGCUCUAUGCCCGCCUAGCGCUUGAAACGAUGGGAAACAUCGACUGCAUGUUUUACACUGAUAAACGUAGUAUCCGGCUUUGCUAGUAGUCGUGGUAGGCGCUUCAGUGAAUCGCCUACUAUUAAAUUUUUCCAUCACACCAUUAUCAUCUUCAAAUUGUUUCGAAUUAUCCAAACUAUAUCCUUGAGCUAAGAGAAUUAGGCAAUUGGCCAUGUCCUCUUCUUCCUCAGUAGUACUUUCAACUAAUUCUUCGGUUGAUGUAGUUGGUAAUUGAUCAUCACAAAUAUUUGGAUCUCCACUACCACCUACACCAAUAACACCAAUACCAUUAUCAUUAUUACCAUCAAAACCAACAUCACCUUGAUCUCCACCACUUGAAGAAUUACUAGUAGUCAUCAUACCACCAACCAUAGCAAGAGGGGAAGACGGUCUUUGACGUUUCGUGCGCUUUCCUUUAACAAUUUGCACAUGAUCAUUAUUUGAUGAUCCUAUUACUUCUUCCAUAGCAACAACCUCCAUGAUCAUUCACCACACCACCACCUCCAAAAGCUUUAUAUAUAAAACUAGAAUGAAAGAAAGAGAAAGACACAAGUAGGGGAAAUGAAGAUGAAAAUGGUGAUGUAGUGAUGAGUAUAUAUAUGAUAUAUAUUUGAUGAAAGAAGAGCUGUUUAAGUAGUCAAAGAGCCGCCCCUAUAUGAACAAGUAACCGAGAAUUAGUCUGCUUUUGCGUUUCCAACCUAGGAAGUUAUACUCAUUUUAUAUAUAGAUAGAUAGAUUGAUAGAAGAAGAAGAAUGAGAGAGAGAGAGAGAGAGAGAGAGAGAGAGAGAGAGAGAGAGAGAGAGAAGGUUAUUGAAGACACAUAAGAGACACAAAGAUCGUAACUGAAAAAAGGCAAAAAAUAGACAAGUAUUAUGUGAUUGUGUGUGUGUAAACUUAACAGUUUACUAAAGUUAUAAUUGUCAAGUCCGUUUCACACUCUCUUUCUCACACUUUGCCAACUCCAUCACACCACAUUAUUAUCUAGAAAAAUAAACCACCAAUACCCUCCACCACCCAUACCAAAUUACACACACACACCAAAAAAAAAAAAAAAAAAAAACUAUAUACUCUCUUUCUUUCUUUACUUCUCUUAUCUUUAGAUAGAUUGAGAGAGAGAGAGAGAGAAGAAGGAUUGAAGGAAGGAAGUGAGUGAGAUUCGGUUGGCUUUCAAGCAAACCCAUUGCUUUUGUUUCUUACAGGAUUGGAUUGCAAGCCUGUUGCCACGGAAUUUGCGCUACUCCCUUUAUUUUUGUUAUUUUUUUAUAAAUGAAUAAGCAAACUUGUGAUGUAAGUGAAUAAAUUCUAAUUGUUUAUGAUUAUGAUGUGAGAGUGGCCAAUAAUAGAUUGGCUUGUCAAGUCUUAUCUUAGUUACAUUACAUAGUGGCUGCAUAUCUCUUCUCUUCUCUUCUCUUCUACACAUACUGUAUUAUUAUGACUUUUAAUUAGUAUGAUUUUGGGGUGUUAUAUUAUGAGUGGGGUAUUUAAGUUGCUAUUCUAACAAAAACAGUCCAUGUGCUACUACUGACCCUUAAAUUAAUUUUAUCUAAUUGUCAUUAAUUAUAUGUUAACAUUAAUUAACAUUAACAUAUCUUGUGAUGAUUUGAUUAGGAAAUUUUGUAACCUGAAACACCAAGAAUUGUGGUGAUACAGAUAAUUAUAGUGUAAACAUGCAGUAUACUACUCAUCAAAUGCAAUGCAACUAUCAUUGGGGGUAAAGAAUCAAGUUAAUGUAAGAAUCAUUUUGAGUAAUUAAGAUGAGUUGAUAGUCUAGAUUAAUCACACUUGUCCCAAUUAGAAUAUAAAUUAUAUUGUUGUUGGACCACCAACAAAAUAAGUACUAAUGGUAUCCCACUCCAUUCUCAUUAUCAAACUUUGAUACCUAAAAAUUGGACAAUUUGCUUUCAGUAUCGUUUAGCUUUAAAUUUAUAAUAACAAUGCAGUUGAAGAGGUGUGUCAUUAGCUUACUAGUUUAGUUCUCUUAAUUAAUUUCUGUAAAACCUCUAAUUAUAAUGCAGUUCCAAUGAAGUACUGAAGGGUUUAUAGAGAUCGAUGAGAUGGGGUACUGGUAACUGCAUGGUGAAAGAGUGAGUGGGGUUGAUUAGGAAAGGCAGCAGAUUCUUGGCAUAACAAUUUAUUUUGUUUGGUUGUGUGAAGCACGUAAUGAAACGCCAGCAGCAGCAAUAUUACAUAUAUAUAUACUGUAUUAUCAGUAGGUGGUGGGGGGAAGUAAAGCAUCCAUAUAUAUCUAUGAUCUAUCUAGUUAUAUUGGUAUGCAGAUUCAUUAAUGAAGCAAGUUAAGCACUAUUACAUUACAUACCUUCUCUCUUCUUACUCUUUCUCCACUUCCCUUCCAUCAUCUUUUCAUCUCUACAUUAAUAAUAUAUUUCUUCACAUCUAGUUCUCUACUAAUUAUAAUAUAAGAUCAAAGACUUUAUAUUAAUGUAAUAAUAAUGUGCAUAUAAUAUAAAGAUGUGUGGAAAAGUAUAGUAGGCAAAAAGAGUUAGAUUGAGAGCAAGUAUGCCUUAAGUACUAGUUCCACUUCACACGUCAACUUCAUGAUUGUGAGCUUUGAUACCUUAUGACCUACUCAUAUAUAUAUAGAUAGAACUUUUCUUUUUAUUUUUUGCUUGAAACUAACUACUAAGCACAACCUACAAAAGACAACACUUACACUUCACAGUGACAUACUUUAGACUUCAGAGAAUCACUCAAAAUAGUUAACUGUACCACCCUUAUCAGUGAGAAGAUGGUGAGUGUUCUAUUUAUACAUUUGAUUGGGUUGCCCCCCAGAAGGGCCAGAUCCAAUAAAAUGACGUUGGGUAUGGAUCAACCAUGGCCCAUUGGAUAAGAUGUCAAUGUUUAUAUUAUAUAGAUAGCACUAAGAUGGGCAUGAAUAGCAUCACAAAAGAUACCAUCUUUCAGAAUUCUCAUGAUUUUAAAGCUUUCAUACAACACAAGUGAGAAUAAAAACUAGGUGCCGUGGAGUAGGAGUCAAAUAAUGCUUCCCAUGUCAUUGUUUUCAAGUUUUUUGUUUACUAAUUAGAUAUACAGUCUAGAUGUUAAUGGCUUGUGACUUGUGAAAUGAGAAUUGUGACAAUCAAAACCUCCAUGUACAGAAAACAAACUAUUCAUUCCUUUAGACAUGGACUAUGACUAGAAUAAUACUACUAAAGUGCCAUCCUUAAGGAAGCAAAAGGUGUAACAAAAACAAAAGGUCUGUAACUUCAAUGAAAAAUAAGAUUAUAUGGGUGUUAAAAGGGGUCAGAUGGUGUCGGUUUAGUAGUCCUUAAGGCACCAACCAAUGCUUGGAAUUGAAAACCUACAGACUUUUUUGAUGUGGAAUCAAAAGUAAAGUUUUCAGUCUUAAUAUAUCCUUACAACACACAACACAGAGAAAAAGUUUGUAUUUUACAGUAAUUAAACUGGUUUAUAGU
Molecule: long non-coding RNA, 6848 nt
Filed under: Aquilegia coerulea
Lineage: Eukaryota; Viridiplantae; Streptophyta; Magnoliopsida; Ranunculales; Ranunculaceae
Description: long non-coding RNA (ACOE_LNC001304)
Source: RNAcentral